GACGAACGCUGGCGGCGUGCUUAACACAUGCAAGUCGAACGAUGAAGCCUAGCUUGCUAGGUGGAUUAGUGGCGAACGGGUGAGUAAUACGUGAGUAACCUACCUUUAACUCUGGGAUAAGCCUGGGAAACUGGGUCUAAUACCGGAUACGACCAAUCUCCGCAUGGGGUGUUGGUGGAAAGCGUUAUGUAGUGGUUAUAGAUGGGCCCACGGCCUAUCAGCUUGUUGGUGAGGUAACGGCUCACCAAGGCGACGACGGGUAGCCGGCCUGAGAGGGUGACCGGCCACACUGGGACUGAGACACGGCCCAGACUCCUACGGGAGGCAGCAGUGGGGAAUAUUGCACAAUGGGCGCAAGCCUGAUGCAGCGACGCCGCGUGAGGGAUGACGGCCUUCGGGUUGUAAACCUCUGUUAGCAGGGAAGAAGAGAGAUUGACGGUACCUGCAGAGAAAGCGCCGGCUAACUACGUGCCAGCAGCCGCGGUAAUACGUAGGGCGCGAGCGUUGUCCGGAAUUAUUGGGCGUAAAGAGCUUGUAGGCGGUUUGUCGCGUCUGCUGUGAAAGGCCGGAGCUUAACUCCGUGUAUUGCAGUGGGUACGGGCAGACUAGAGUGCAGUAGGGGAGACUGGAAUUCCUGGUGUAGCGGUGGAAUGCGCAGAUUUCAGGAGGAACACCGAUGGGCGAAGGCAGGUCUCUGGGCUGUAACUGACGCUGAGAAGCGAAAGCAUGGGGAGCGAACAGGAUUAGAUACCCUGGUAGUCCAUGCCGUAAACGUUGGGCACUAGGUGUGGGGAACAUUCCACGUUUUCCGCGCCGUAGCUAACGCAUUAAGUGCCCCGCCUGGGGAGUACGGCCGCAAGGCUAAAACUCAAAGAAAUUGACGGGGGCCCGCACAAGCGGCGGAGCAUGCGGAUUAAUUCGAUGCAACGCGAAGAACCUUACCAAGGCUUGACAUAUACUGGACCGCAUCAGAGAUGGUGUUUCCCUUCGGGGCUGGUAUACAGGUGGUGCAUGGUUGCCGUCAGCUCGUGUCGUGAGAUGUUGGGUUAAGUCCCGCAACGAGCGCAACCCUCGUUCUAUGUUGCCAGCACGUUAUGGUGGGGACUCAUAGGAGACUGCCGGGGUCAACUCGGAGGAAGGUGGGGAUGACGUCAAAUCAUCAUGCCCCUUAUGUCUUGGGCUUCACGCAUGCUACAAUGGCCGGUACAGAGGGUUGCGAUACUGUGAGGUGGAGCUAAUCCCUAAAAGCCGGUCUCAGUUCGGAUUGGGGUCUGCAACUCGACCCCAUGAAGUCGGAGUCGCUAGUAAUCGCAGAUCAGCAACGCUGCGGUGAAUACGUUCCCGGGCCU
Molecule: ribosomal RNA, 1349 nt
Filed under: uncultured bacterium
Lineage: Bacteria
Description: bacterial SSU rRNA
Rfam family: Bacterial small subunit ribosomal RNA
Source: RNAcentral